CCUACGGGAGGCAGCAGUGAGGAAUAUUGGACAAUGGGCGCAAGCCUGAUCCAGCCAUGCCGCGUGCAGGAAGACGGUCCUAUGGAUUGUAAACUGCUUUUAUACAGGAAGAAACACCUCUACGUGUAGAGACUUGACGGUACUGUAUGAAUAAGCAUCGGCUAACUCCGUGCCAGCAGCCGCGGUAAUACGGAGGAUGCAAGCGUUAUCCGGAAUCAUUGGGUUUAAAGGGUCCGUAGGCGGUUUAAUAAGUCAGUGGUGAAAGCCCAUCGCUCAACGAUGGAACGGCCAUUGAUACUGUUAAACUUGAAUUAUUAGGAAGUAACUAGAAUAUGUAGUGUAGCGGUGAAAUGCUUAGAGAUUACAUGGAAUACCAAUUGCGAAGGCAGGUUACUACUAAUAUAUUGACGCUGAUGGACGAAAGCGUGGGGAGCGAACAGGAUUAGAUACCCUGGUAGUCCACGCCGUAAACGAUGGAUACUAGCUGUUCGGAGCAAUCUGAGUGGCUAAGCGAAAGUGAUAAGUAUCCCACCUGGGGAGUACGUUCGCAAGAUGAAACCUUAAAGGAAUUGACGG
RNAcentral lists this ribosomal RNA (576 nucleotides) under uncultured bacterium. Its description in RNAcentral is "bacterial SSU rRNA". It matches the Rfam family "Bacterial small subunit ribosomal RNA", at positions 338 to 916 of the family's 1533-position model. The record is from RNAcentral.